GGAGGUGUCGCCUAGUGGCCUAUGGCGCUCGCUUGGAAAGCGGGUUGGGUUAACGCCCUCGGGGGUUCGAAUCCCCCUACCUCCGCCA
Molecule: transfer RNA, 88 nt
Filed under: Nocardioides sp.
Lineage: Bacteria; Bacillati; Actinomycetota; Actinomycetes; Propionibacteriales; Nocardioidaceae
Description: tRNA-Ser
Rfam family: tRNA
About the family: Transfer RNA (tRNA) molecules are approximately 80 nucleotides in length. Their secondary structure includes four short double-helical elements and three loops (D, anti-codon, and T loops).
Source: RNAcentral